This 3150-nucleotide ribosomal RNA is filed under the name Streptomyces fungicidicus. Its description in RNAcentral is "bacterial LSU rRNA". It matches the Rfam family "Bacterial large subunit ribosomal RNA". The record is from RNAcentral. Lineage: Bacteria; Bacillati; Actinomycetota; Actinomycetes; Kitasatosporales; Streptomycetaceae.
ACAGUGGACGCGAGCAUCUGUGGCCAAGUUUUUAAGGGCGCACGGUGGAUGCCUUGGCACCAGGAACCGAUGAAGGACGUGGGAGGCCACGAUAGUCCCCGGGGAGUCGUCAACCAGGCUUUGAUCCGGGGGUUUCCGAAUGGGGAAACCCGGCAGUCGUCAUGGGCUGUCACCCUUGCCUGAACACAUAGGGCAAGUGGAGGGAACGCGGGGAAGUGAAACAUCUCAGUACCCGCAGGAAGAGAAAACAACCGUGAUUCCGGGAGUAGUGGCGAGCGAAACCGGAUGAGGCCAAACCGUAUGCGUGUGAGACCCGGCAGGGGUUGCGCAUUCGGGGUUGUGGGAUCUCUCUUCUACGGUCUGCCGGCCGUGGGACGAGUCAGAAACCGUUGAUGUAGGCGAAGGACAUGCGAAAGGUCCGGCGUAGAGGGUAAGACCCCCGUAGUCGAAACAUCAGCGGCUCGUUUGAGAGACACCCAAGUAGCACGGGGCCCGAGAAAUCCCGUGUGAAUCUGGCGGGACCACCCGCUAAGCCUAAAUAUUCCCUGGUGACCGAUAGCGGAUAGUACCGUGAGGGAAUGGUGAAAAGUACCGCGGGAGCGGAGUGAAAUAGUACCUGAAACCGUGUGCCUACAAGCCGUGGGAGCGUCGGAACAAGGCUUGCCUUGUUCUCGUGACUGCGUGCCUUUUGAAGAAUGAGCCUGCGAGUUUGCGGUGUGUUGCGAGGUUAACCCGGGUGGGGAAGCCGUAGCGAAAGCGAGUCCGAAUAGGGCGUUUCAGUAGCACGCUCAAGACCCGAAGCGGAGUGAUCUAGCCAUGGGCAGGUUGAAGCGGAGGUAAGACUUCGUGGAGGACCGAACCCACCAGGGUUGAAAACCUGGGGGAUGACCUGUGGUUAGGGGUGAAAGGCCAAUCAAACUCCGUGAUAGCUGGUUCUCCCCGAAAUGCAUUUAGGUGCAGCGUCGUGUGUUUCUUGCCGGAGGUAGAGCACUGGAUAGGCGAUGGGCCCUACCGGGUUACUGACCUUAGCCAAACUCCGAAUGCCGGUAAGUGAGAGCGCGGCAGUGAGACUGUGGGGGAUAAGCUCCAUGGUCGAGAGGGAAACAGCCCAGAGCAUCGACUAAGGCCCCUAAGCGUACGCUAAGUGGGAAAGGAUGUGGAGUCGCACAGACAACCAGGAGGUUGGCUUAGAAGCAGCCACCCUUGAAAGAGUGCGUAAUAGCUCACUGGUCUAGUGAUUCCGCGCCGACAAUGUAGCGGGGCUCAAGCGUACCGCCGAAGUCGUGUCAUUGCGAUAUGUACCCCCAACGGGGAUCGUGAUGGGUAGGGGAGCGUCGUGUGCCGGGUGAAGCAGCGCCGGAAGGCAGUUGUGGACGGUUCACGAGUGAGAAUGCAGGCAUGAGUAGCGAUUCACACGUGAGAAACGUGUGCGCCGAUUGACUAAGGGUUCCUGGGUCAAGCUGAUCUGCCCAGGGUAAGUCGGGACCUAAGGCGAGGCCGACAGGCGUAGUCGAUGGAUAACCGGUUGAUAUUCCGGUACCCGCUGUGAAGCGUCAAACAUCGAAUCCAGUGAUGCUAAGCCCGUGAAGCCGCCGGCUGAGUCUUCGGACGAGGUCGGAGUGGUGGAGCCGGUGACCCGAGCUGGUAGUAGGUGAGUGAUGGGGUGACGCAGGAAGGUAGUCCAUCCCGGGCGGUGGUUGUCCCGGGGUAAGGGUGUAGGACGUCAGGUAGGUAAAUCCGCCUGGCACAUAGUCUGAGACCUGAUGCCGAGCCGAUUGUGGUGAAGUGGAUGAUCCUAUGCUGUCGAGAAAAGCCUCUAGCGAGUUUCAUGGCGGCCCGUACCCUAAACCGACUCAGGUGGUCAGGUAGAGAAUACCGAGGCGUUCGGGUGAACUAUGGUUAAGGAACUCGGCAAAAUGCCCCCGUAACUUCGGGAGAAGGGGGGCCACGUCUGGUGAGAGCACUUGCUGCUCGAGCUGGGGGUGGCCGCAGAGACCAGCGAGAAGCGACUGUUUACUAAAAACACAGGUCCGUGCGAAGCCGUAAGGCGAUGUAUACGGACUGACGCCUGCCCGGUGCUGGAACGUUAAGGGGACCGGUUAGCUCACUUUCGGGUGGGCGAAGCUGAGAACUUAAGCGCCAGUAAACGGCGGUGGUAACUAUAACCAUCCUAAGGUAGCGAAAUUCCUUGUCGGGUAAGUUCCGACCUGCACGAAUGGCGUAACGACUUCUCGACUGUCUCAACCAUAGGCCCGGUGAAAUUGCACUACGAGUAAAGAUGCUCGUUUCGCGCAGCAGGACGGAAAGACCCCGGGACCUUUACUACAGUUUGAUAUUGGUGUUCGGUUCGGCUUGUGUAGGAUAGCUGGGAGACUUUGAACUCUGGACGCCAGUUCAGGGGGAGUCGUCGUUGAAAUACCAGUCUGGUCGUGCUGGAUGUCUAACCUGGGUCCGUGAUCCGGAUCAGGGACAGUGUCUGAUGGGUAGUUUAACUGGGGCGGUUGCCUCCUAAAGAGUAACGGAGGCGCCCAAAGGUUCCCUCAGCCUGGUUGGCAAUCAGGUGUUGAGUGUAAGUGCACAAGGGAGCUUGACUGUGAGACCGACGGGUCGAGCAGGGACGAAAGUCGGGACUAGUGAUCCGGCGGUGGCUUGUGGAAGCGCCGUCGCUCAACGGAUAAAAGGUACCCCGGGGAUAACAGGCUGAUCUUCCCCAAGAGUCCAUAUCGACGGGAUGGUUUGGCACCUCGAUGUCGGCUCGUCGCAUCCUGGGGCUGGAGUCGGUCCCAAGGGUUGGGCUGUUCGCCCAUUAAAGCGGUACGCGAGCUGGGUUUAGAACGUCGUGAGACAGUUCGGUCCCUAUCCGCUGUGCGCGUAGGAGUCUUGAGAAGGGCUGUCCCUAGUACGAGAGGACCGGGACGGACGAACCUCUGGUGUGCCAGUUGUUCUGCCAAGGGCAUGGCUGGUUGGCUACGUUCGGGAGGGAUAACCGCUGAAAGCAUCUAAGCGGGAAGCCUGCUUCGAGAUGAGGACUCCCACCUCCUAGAGAGGGUAAGGCUCCCAGUAGACGACUGGGUUGAUAGGCCGGAUAUGGAAGCACGGUAACGUGUGGAGUUGACCGGUACUAAUAGGCCGAGGGCUUGUCCUCAGUUG